CUAACACACAUCACACACGAAAACACAUCACACAAGCACACAUCACGCACGCUAACACACAUCACACACUAACACACAUCACACACUAACACACAUCACACGUGCUAAAACACAUCACACAAGCACACAUCACACACACUAACACAUCACACACACUAACACAUCACACAAGCACACAUCACACACGCUAACACAUCACACACUAAC
RNAcentral lists this long non-coding RNA (207 nucleotides) under Homo sapiens (human). RNAcentral describes it as "non-protein coding lnc-CFAP46-3:6". Lineage: Eukaryota; Metazoa; Chordata; Mammalia; Primates; Hominidae. The record is from RNAcentral.